ACCAGCUCCGAGAUCACCACCAAGGAUUUAGAGGAGAAUUGUGGAGGAGGCAGAGAAUAGAAGAGAUGCACCUGCUAAUGGGAAGGCUCAUGAGGAAAAUGGGGGGCAGGAGGCCAAGAAGGAAGAUGAAGAAGAUCGUGAAGGGAAAGAG
Mustela erminea (ermine) is the source of this 151-nucleotide long non-coding RNA. RefSeq lists it as uncharacterized. The transcript has 3 exons. Lineage: Eukaryota; Metazoa; Chordata; Mammalia; Carnivora; Mustelidae. The record is from RefSeq and is a predicted model, not a curated record.